AUUGAACGCUGGCGGCAGGCUUAACACAUGCAAGUCGAGCGGGGUGAUGGUGCUUGCACUAUCACUUAGCGGCGGACGGGUGAGUAAUGCUUAGGAAUCUGCCUAUUAGUGGGGGACAACAUCUCGAAAGGGAUGCUAAUACCGCAUACGUCCUACGGGAGAAAGCAGGGGAUCACUUGUGACCUUGCGCUAAUAGAUGAGCCUAAGUCGGUUUAGCUAGUUGGUGGGGUAAAGGCCUACCAAGGCGACGAUCUAUAGCGGGUCUGAGAGGAUGAUCCGCCACACUGGGACUGAGACACGGUCCAGACUCCUACGGGAGGCAGCAGUGGGGAAUAUUGGACAAUGGGGGGAACCCUGAUCCAGCCAUGCCGCGUGUGUGAAGAAGGCCUUAUGGUUGUAAAGCACUUCAAGCGAGGAGGAGGCUCUUUUGGUUAAUACCCAAGAUGAGUGGACGUUACUCGCAGAAUAAGCACCGGCUAACUCUGUGCCAGCCGCCGCCGUAA
RNAcentral lists this ribosomal RNA (503 nucleotides) under uncultured bacterium. RNAcentral describes it as "partial 16S ribosomal RNA". It matches the Rfam family "Bacterial small subunit ribosomal RNA", at positions 30 to 523 of the family's 1533-position model. The record is from RNAcentral.